RNAcentral lists this ribosomal RNA (453 nucleotides) under uncultured bacterium. RNAcentral describes it as "bacterial SSU rRNA". It matches the Rfam family "Bacterial small subunit ribosomal RNA", at positions 340 to 784 of the family's 1533-position model. The record is from RNAcentral.
UACGGAAGGCAGCAGUGGGGAAUAUUGCACAAUGGGCGAAAGCCUGAUGCAGCUAUGCCGCGUGUAUGAAGAAGGCCUUAGGGUUGUAAAGUACUUUCAUCGGGGAGGAAAAAACAAAACUAAUAAUUUUAUUUCUUGACGUUACCCGAAAAAGAAGCACCGGCUAACUCCGUGCCAGCAGCCGCGGUAAUACGGAGGGUGCUAGCGUUAAUCAGAAUUACUGGGCGUAAAGAGCACGUAGGUGGUUUUUUUAAAGUCAGAUGUGAAAUCCCUGGGCUUAACCUGGAACUGCAUUUUGAAACUGAAAUACUAGAGUAUCGUAGAGGGAGGUAGAAUUCUAGGUGUAGCGGUGAAAUGCGUAGAUAUCUGGAGGAUACCUGUGGCGAAAGCGGCCGUCCUAAACGAAUACUGACACUGAGUGCGAAAGCGUGGGGAGCAAACAGGGAUUAGAUA